Dermacentor andersoni is the source of this 937-nucleotide long non-coding RNA. RefSeq lists it as uncharacterized. NCBI's taxonomy places the organism in Eukaryota, Metazoa, Arthropoda, Arachnida, Ixodida, Ixodidae. The record is from RefSeq and is a predicted model, not a curated record.
CCGAGUUCCUGCGCUGCUGGGAGCAACGUUCCAGACAUGCAAGCUGCAUCUGAGGAAACCUUUGAGGCGAGAAGCGAAAAUCCAUCAACCAACGCUGGGCAACAGAAGCCUGCAGAGUGUUCCGACUAAACUCGAUCUCUUGCUGACCAGAAAAGAGCAGACAUACAUGGUGGCUUUCCCCCAGCAUCAACUCGCAAUGAUGAAGGCUGCCCCAGACCUCUAAAAGAGGAUUUGACUUCUGCAGGACACCACCGCCUUUCCCGGUGGCUUUGGGUCUGCAUCUUCGGCGGAUAACCGUUGCACGUGCCGUAUCUCUUCGACUAUCGCACGUUUCGCCGCUCAUCUAUAAACUGCCGUGGUCUCCAGUGUGACGUCAGCGAGCCGUGGACCAGGAUUGGCUGCCUGAAAGAUCCGCCGACUACAAAAGGAACUGUGCCUCACCGCUGAUCCUCACUUGGCAGCAGCGGCUGUGCCGACCGGUUCACUAAAUCUGCGCAUUUGGUACACAGGUUUGUGCAAUCAUUUGUAGCCAAUUUUUAUUUCAUUUUAUUUUUUUAUUUUUCCCUGCCGCUGCUGCCAAGCUCUUGUACAAGUGUUUGCUGAACUCCUAAUUUGAAAUGCCUUCUUAAGUGACAAAGCUGUUGAAAGAUUUUAAACAAGAAAUGCGAGAUAUGCGCUGUGCACUAGAGAAAGAACUUCGAAAAGAAUAUAAAGACCUGGAAAAAUCCGUAGAUUUCUUUAGUGAACAGUUUGAUGCUAUGGCUGAGCGCAGUGCAAAAUUGAAAAAGGAAAACUCAGCGCUAAAGAAAGGAAAGGCCGCACUAUCACAGGAAUGCGAAGGACUGAAACAACAACUAUCUGACCUUGAAGACCGGGUGACAAAACAAGAACAGUACUCGAGGAACCGGAACAUUGAGAUUAAAGGUGUUCCGGUAAG